GCUUUGUAUUUUAUGUUAGAAUUUAAAAUUGCAAAUUUUAAGGAGAUUUUUCUAAAGCU
Molecule: transfer RNA, 59 nt
Filed under: Opilio parietinus
Lineage: Eukaryota; Metazoa; Arthropoda; Arachnida; Opiliones; Phalangiidae
Description: tRNA-Cys
Source: RNAcentral